This 709-nucleotide ribosomal RNA is filed under the name Halobacterium sp. RNAcentral describes it as "bacterial SSU rRNA". It matches the Rfam family "Archaeal small subunit ribosomal RNA", at positions 90 to 798 of the family's 1478-position model. Lineage: Archaea; Methanobacteriati; Methanobacteriota; Halobacteria; Halobacteriales; Halobacteriaceae. The record is from RNAcentral.
UCAGUAACACGUGGCCAAACUACCCUGUGGAUGGGAACAAUCUCGGGAAACUGAGGCUAAUUCCCAAUAACGCUCCACCCCUGGAACGGGCGGAGCUGGAAACGCUACGGCGCCACAGGAUGUGGCUGCGGUCGAUUAGGUAGACGGUGGGGUAACGGCCCACCGUGCCAAUAAUCGGUACGGGUUGUGAGAGCAAGAGCCCGGAGACGGAAUCUGAGACAAGAUUCCGGGCCCUACGGGGCGCAGCAGGCGCGAAACCUUUACACUGUACGCAAGUGCGAUAAGGGGACUCCGAGUGUGAAGGCAUAGAGCCUUCACUUUUGUACACCGUAAGGUGGUGUACGAAUAAGGGCUGGGCAAGACCGGUGCCAGCCGCCGCGGUAAUACCGGCAGCCCGAGUGAUGGCCGAUAUUAUUGGGCCUAAAGCGUCCGUAGCUGGCCGGACAAGUCCGUUGGGAAAUCUGUUCGCUUAACGAGCAGGCGUCCAGCGGAAACUGUUCGGCUUGGGACCGGAAGACCUGAGGGGUACGUCCGGGGUAGGAGUGAAAUCCUGUAAUCCUGGACGGACCACCGGUGGCGAAAGCGCCUCAGGAGGACGGAUCCGACAGUGAGGGACGAAAGCUAGGGUCUCGAACCGGAUUAGAUACCCGGGUAGUCCUAGCUGUAAACGAUGCCCGCUAGGUGUGGCGCAGGCUACGAGCCUGCGCUG